GCACAGCUCCAGCUGAACCCAGCUCUGCUCUGCAGCCAGGGCAGAACUGCUGCCCAGAGGAAGAGAAGUGCAAACCAGCAGUUACUGAAGCACUGAGGGAUUUUUAGGUGGCUGAGGCUGAAGCUCCUCACAAUUUUACAGAAUAUUCUGAGCUGGAAGGGACCCACAGGGAUCAUAGUGGCAUCACUUGGCCCUGUCAGCUGAGGAAUCUCCUGGGUUGGGAAGGCUUUCUGGAGCACCAAGGGGAGAGCCAUAGGGAGAUCCUGCAAGAAUUCCAUCCCAAGCAUCCAAAUGCCUCAUUCCUAAAAGAAGCUGGAAUGCUAA
Long non-coding RNA from Haemorhous mexicanus (house finch), 324 nucleotides. RefSeq lists it as uncharacterized. Lineage: Eukaryota; Metazoa; Chordata; Aves; Passeriformes; Fringillidae. The transcript has 3 exons. The record is from RefSeq and is a predicted model, not a curated record.